RNAcentral lists this ribosomal RNA (467 nucleotides) under uncultured bacterium. RNAcentral describes it as "partial 16S ribosomal RNA". It matches the Rfam family "Bacterial small subunit ribosomal RNA", at positions 29 to 507 of the family's 1533-position model. The record is from RNAcentral.
ACGAACGCUGGCGGCGUGCUUCACACAUGCAAGUCGAACGGAAAGGCCCUGCUUUUGUGGGGUGCUCGAGUGGCGAACGGGUGAGUAACACGUGAGUAACCUGCCCUUGACUUUGGGAUAACUUCAGGAAACUGGGGCUAAUACCGGAUAGGAGCUCCUGCUGCAUGGUGGGGGUUGGAAAGUUUCGGCGGUUGGGGAUGGACUCGCGGCUUAUCAGCUUGUUGGUGGGGUAGUGGCUUACCAAGGCUUUGACGGGUAGCCGGCCUGAGAGGGUGACCGGCCACAUUGGGACUGAGAUACGGCCCAGACUCCUACGGGAGGCAGCAGUGGGGAAUAUUGCACAAUGGGCGGAAGCCUGAUGCAGCAACGCCGCGUGCGGGAUGACGGCCUUCGGGUUGUAAACCGCUUUCGCCUGUGACGAAGCGUGAGUGACGGUAAUGGGUAAGGAAGCACCGGCUAACUACGUG